This 451-nucleotide ribosomal RNA is filed under the name uncultured bacterium. RNAcentral describes it as "bacterial SSU rRNA". It matches the Rfam family "Bacterial small subunit ribosomal RNA", at positions 354 to 796 of the family's 1533-position model. The record is from RNAcentral.
GUGGGGAAUAUUGGACAAUGGGGGGAACCCUGAUCCAGCCAUGCCGCGUGUGUGAAGAAGGCCUUUUGGUUGUAAAGCACUUUAAGCGAGGAGGAGGCUACCGAGAUUAAUACUCUUGGAUAGUGGACGUUACUCGCAGAAUAAGCACCGGCUAACUCUGUGCCAGCAGCCGCGGUAAUACAGAGGGUGCAAGCGUUAAUCGGAUUUACUGGGCGUAAAGCGCGCGUAGGUGGCCAAUUAAGUCAAAUGUUAAAUCCCCGAGCUUAACGUGGGAAUUGCAUUCGAUACAGGUUGGCUAGAGUAUGGGAGAGGAUGGUAGAAUUCCAGGUGUAGCGGUGAAAUGCGUAGAGAUCUGGAGGAAUACCGAUGGCGAAGGCAGCCAUCUGGCCUAAUACUGACACUGAGGUGCGAAAGCAUGGGGAGCAAACAGGAUUAGAAACCCCUGUAGUCC